AGUUUGAUCAUGGCUCAGAACGAACGCUGGCGGCAUGCCUAACACAUGCAAGUCGAACGAAGCCUUCGGGCUUAGUGGCGCACGGGUGCGUAACACGUGGGAAUCUGCCCUUCGGUUCGGAAUAACAGUUAGAAAUGACUGCUAAUACCGGAUGAUGACGUAAGUCCAAAGAUUUAUCGCCGAAGGAUGAGCCCGCGUAGGAUUAGGUAGUUGGUAGGGUAAUGGCCUACCAAGCCGACGAUCCUUAGCUGGUCUGAGAGGAUGAUCAGCCACACUGGGACUGAGACACGGCCCAGACUCCUACGGGAGGCAGCAGUGGGGAAUAUUGGACAAUGGGCGAAAGCCUGAUCCAGCAAUGCCGCGUGAGUGAUGAAGGCCUUAGGGUUGUAAAGCUCUUUACCAGGGAUGAUAAUGACAGUACCUGGAGAAUAAGCUCCGGCUAACUCCGUG
Molecule: ribosomal RNA, 450 nt
Filed under: uncultured bacterium
Lineage: Bacteria
Description: bacterial SSU rRNA
Rfam family: Bacterial small subunit ribosomal RNA
Source: RNAcentral